GGAGGAAAAGAAACCAACAGGGAUUACCUCAGUAACGGCGAGUGAAGCGGUAACAGCUCAAAUUUGAAAUCUGGCUCUUUCAGGGUCCGAGUUGUAAUUUGUAGAAGAUGCUUUGGGUGUGGCACCGGUCUAAGUUCCUUGGAACAGGACGUCAUAGAGGGUGAGAAUCCCGUAUGUGACUGGUUGCUUUCGCCCGUGUAAAGCUCUUUCGACGAGUCGAGUUGUUUGGGAAUGCAGCUCAAAAUGGGUGGUAAAUUUCAUCUAAAGCUAAAUAUUGGCCAGAGACCGAUAGCGCACAAGUAGAGUGAUCGAAAGAUGAAAAGCACUUUGGAAAGAGAGUUAAACAGUACGUGAAAUUGUUGAAAGGGAAGCGCUUGCAACCAGACUCGCAUUCCGUCGAUCAUCCGGAGUUCUCUCCGGUGCACUCGGCGGUAUUCGGGCCAGCAUCGGUUUGGGUGGUGGGAUAAAGGCCUUGGGAAUGUAGCUUCUUUCGGGGAGUGUUAUAGCCCUCGGUGCAAUGCCGCCUACCUGGACCGAGGACCGCGCUCGGCUAGGAUGC
RNAcentral lists this ribosomal RNA (559 nucleotides) under Lachnum sp. FC-2244. Its description in RNAcentral is "eukaryotic LSU rRNA". It matches the Rfam family "Eukaryotic large subunit ribosomal RNA", at positions 52 to 626 of the family's 3401-position model. Lineage: Eukaryota; Fungi; Ascomycota; Leotiomycetes; Helotiales; Lachnaceae. The record is from RNAcentral.